GUACAUCUUCACGGACCGCAUCUGAUCUGUAUGAUGCCAUGGGUCAUCUGGAGCUGCAGGUUGCUCAGAUGUCUGAUCGCCAGACUCAGAUGUUUGAGCGCCAGACUCAGUUGGAGCAGCAGGUGGGACGACUUACAGACCAGCAGCAGACCCUGAUCGAGCAGCAGAGCCAGAUUUUGCACCUUCUUCAGCAGUCAUCUGGAGUGCCACCUCCCCAGCCUCCUCAGUGAUCUUUUUGUUUAUAUAGUUGCUCUUUCUUUUCUCUCCUCUUUUGGUAUUGUGAUAUUUUUUGUUUUUGAUGAUGUCAAAAGGGGGAGAAUGGUAUAAUGGUAUCAUAUAUAUAUUUGAUGUGGCUAUACUAGUUUAACAAUGGUAUCAUAUAUAUAUUUGAUGUGGCUAUACUAGUUUAACUCUUUUGGUUUUAUGGAUGUUGAUACAUUGUUUAACUCUUUUGGUUUUAUGGAUGUUGAUACAUUGAUAUCUAUUUGACUCAUGAUUAUUGUGCAUAACUAUAGCUCUUCUUGAGAUGCAUUUUUUGUUGGAACUCAUUCAUUCAUAUAGGAUCCAUUGCAUCUCAUUGCAUUGAGUCAAAACCUCCCUUAUGUGUCUUCUCACAUUUUAAAUAUGGCACAAAGUAUUUUUGACAGGGGGAGCACAUUAAGG
Molecule: long non-coding RNA, 663 nt
Filed under: Manihot esculenta (cassava)
Lineage: Eukaryota; Viridiplantae; Streptophyta; Magnoliopsida; Malpighiales; Euphorbiaceae
Description: long non-coding RNA (MESC_LNC004667)
Source: RNAcentral